AACGAACGCUGGCGGCAUGCCUAACACAUGCAAGUCGAACGAGACCUUCGGGUUUUGUUGCGCACGUGUGCGUAACGCGUGGGAACCUGCCCUUAGGUUCGGAAUAACUCCCCGACAGGGGUGCUAAUACCGGAUAAUAUCUUCGGACCAAAGAUUUAUCGCCUUUGGUUGGGCCCGCGUUGGAUUAGCUAGUUGGUAGGGUAAAAGCCUACCAUGGCGACGAUCCAUAGCUGGUCUGAGAGGAUGAUCAGCCACACUGGGACUGAGACACGGCCCAGACUCCUACGCAAGGAAGCAGUGGGGAACAUUAGACAAUGGACGAGAGACUGAUCCAGCAAUGCCGCGUGAGUGAUGAAGGACUUAGGAUUGUAAAGCUGUUUUACCCGGGCCGAUAAUGACAGUACCGGGAGAAUAAGCUCCGGCUAACUCCGUG
This 433-nucleotide ribosomal RNA is filed under the name uncultured bacterium. RNAcentral's name for it is "partial 16S ribosomal RNA". It matches the Rfam family "Bacterial small subunit ribosomal RNA", at positions 29 to 507 of the family's 1533-position model. The record is from RNAcentral.